GUGUCAUAGCUAUUCAUCCCCAAGCUGCACCAACAGUUUGUAGACAUACCUUAGAGCUUUUAAUCUCCUUAGCAAAAA
RNAcentral lists this long non-coding RNA (78 nucleotides) under Polistes fuscatus (common paper wasp). RNAcentral describes it as "uncharacterized LOC122518591". Lineage: Eukaryota; Metazoa; Arthropoda; Insecta; Hymenoptera; Vespidae. The record is from RNAcentral.